CCCGGCACAAGCGGAGGAACAUGUGGUUUAAUUCGAUGAUACGCGAGGAACCUUACCUGGGCUAGAACGCAUUCGGAAUCAGGCCGAAAGGCCUGCGCCAGCGAUGGCCGCUUGCGAGGUGCUGCAUGGUUGUCGUCAGCUCGUGCCGUGAGGUGUCGGGUUAAGUCCCAUAACGAGCGCAACCCCUACUGCUAGUUGCCAGCGGGUCAUGCCGGGGACUCUAGCGGAACUGCCAGCGUAAGCUGCGAGGAAGGUGGGGAUGACGUCAAAUCAGCACGGCCCUUACGUCCAGGGCUACACACGUGUUACAAUGGCCGGUACAGAGGGCAGCCACCCCGCGAGGGGGCGCGAAUCCCGAAAGCCGGUCCCAGUUCGGAUUGGAGUCUGCAACUCGACUCCAUGAAGUUGGAAUCGCUAGUAAUCGUGGAUCAGCAUGCCACGGUGAAUACGUUCCCGGGCCUU
Molecule: ribosomal RNA, 462 nt
Filed under: uncultured Rikenellaceae bacterium
Lineage: Bacteria; Pseudomonadati; Bacteroidota; Bacteroidia; Bacteroidales; Rikenellaceae
Description: bacterial SSU rRNA
Rfam family: Bacterial small subunit ribosomal RNA
Source: RNAcentral